This 443-nucleotide ribosomal RNA is filed under the name uncultured bacterium. RNAcentral describes it as "partial 16S ribosomal RNA". It matches the Rfam family "Bacterial small subunit ribosomal RNA", at positions 338 to 795 of the family's 1533-position model. The record is from RNAcentral.
CCUACGGGAGGCAGCAGUGGGGAAUAUUGGGCAAUGGGCGCAAGCCUGACCCAGCAACGCCGCGUGAAGGAAGAAGGCUUUCGGGUUGUAAACUUCUUUUCUCAGGGACGAAGCAAGUGACGGUACCUGAGGAAUAAGCCACGGCUAACUACGUGCCAGCAGCCGCGGUAAUACGUAGGAGGCAAGCGUUAUCCGGAAGGACUGGGCGUAAAGGGUGCGUAGGGGGUUUGGCAAGUUGGUAGCGUAAUCCCGGGGCUCAACCUCGGUGCUACUACCCAAACUGUUGAACUUGAGUGCAGGAGGGGUGAAUGGAAUUCCCAGUGGAGCGGUGGAAUGCGUAGAUAUUGGGAAGAACACCAGCGGCGAAGGCGAUUCACUGGACUGUGACUGACACUGAGGCACGAAAGCGUGGGGAGCAAACAGGAUUAGAUACCCCAGUAGUC